UUUGAUCCUGGCUCAGAUUGAGCGCUGGCGGAUGCUUUUACAUGCAAGUCGGGCAGCAACACGGACUUCGGUCUGGUGGCGAGUGGCGAACGGGUGAAGUAACGUAUCGGAACGUGCCUAAUGUGGGGGAUAGCUUCACAUGGCGGCAUCGCUAAUACCGCAUACGCCCUUCGAAGCGGGGGACCUUCCGGGCCUCACUGUGAAACAAGCCGAUAUCGGAUUAGGCUGGUUGGGUGGUGGCAGCUCUGGGCGACGAUCCGUAGCUGGUUUGAGAGGACGACCAGCCACACUGGGACUGAGACGGCCCGGACUCCACAGGAGGCAGCAGUGAAAUUUUGGACAAAUGGGGAAACCCUGAUCAGCCAUCCCGCGUGCGAUGAAGAUAUUCGGGUUGUAAAAGCACUUUUGGCAGGAAAGAAACGGCACGGGAUAAUACCCGAUGCAACUGGCAGUACCUUACCAGAAUAAGCACCGGCUAACUACGUGCCAGCAGCCGCGGUAAUGCAUGGGUGCGGCGUUAAUCCCGGAAUUACUGGGCGUAAAGCGUGCGCGGGCGGUUCGGAAGAAGAUCGGAAGCAACUUUGGAACUGCAUUUUUAACUACUGGGCUAGAGUGUGUCAGAGGAGGUGGAAUUCCGCGUGUAUGAUGAAAUGCGUACUGGAGGAACACCGAUGGCGAAGGCCUCCUGGGAUAACACUGGCGCUCAGCGGUGCGGAGCAAACAGGAUGAAUACCCUGGUAGUCCACGCCCUAAACGAUGUCAACUAGCUGUUGGGGCCUUUGAGCCUUGGUAGCGCAGCUAACGCGUGAAGUUGACCUGCCACCAGAAUGCAGUCGCAGGAUUAAAACUCAAGGAAUUGACGGGGACCCGCACAGAGGCGGUGGAUAAUGUGGAUUAAUUCGAUGCGCGAAAAGUACCACCUACGUAAUGUCUGGAAUCCCGAAGAGAUUGGGAGUACUCACCAAGAGAACCGGAACACAGGUGCUGCAUGGCUGUCGUCGUCGUCGUGAGAUGUUGGGUUAAGUCCCGCAACGAGCGCCUUUGUCAUUAGUUGCUACGAAAGGGCACUCUAAUGAGACUGCUGACAAACCGGAGGAAGGUGGGGAUGACGUCAAGUCCUCAUGGCCCCUAUGGGUGGGGCUUCACGAUGUACAAUGGUCGGGACAGAGGUCUUCAACCACGGAGGCCAAUCCCAGAAACCCGAUCGUAGUCCGGAUCGCAGUCUGCAACUCGACUGCGUGAGAGUCGAAUCGCUAGUAAUCGCGGAUCAGCAUGUCGCGGUGAAUACGUUCCCGGGUCUUGUACCACCACCCGUCACACCAUGGGAGUGGGUUUGCAAGUAGUUAGCUAACCGUAAGGGCGAUUACACAGUGGAUUCAUGACUGGGGUGAAGUCGUGUCAAGGUAACUCUGUUGCUACACAGUGUCCAGAAC
This 1433-nucleotide ribosomal RNA is filed under the name uncultured Bordetella sp. Its description in RNAcentral is "partial 16S-23S ribosomal RNA intergenic spacer". It matches the Rfam family "Bacterial small subunit ribosomal RNA". The record is from RNAcentral. Lineage: Bacteria; Pseudomonadati; Pseudomonadota; Betaproteobacteria; Burkholderiales; Alcaligenaceae.